This 256-nucleotide ribosomal RNA is filed under the name Nannoperca australis (Tasmanian pigmy perch). Its description in RNAcentral is "partial 12S ribosomal RNA". Lineage: Eukaryota; Metazoa; Chordata; Actinopteri; Centrarchiformes; Percichthyidae. The record is from RNAcentral.
GCCCACGACACCUUGCUUAGCCACACCCCCAAGGGAACUCAGCAGUGAUAGACAUUAAGCCAUAAGUGAAAACUUGACUUAGUCAAAGCUAAGAGGGCCGGUAAAACUCGUGCCAGCCACCGCGGUUAUACGAGAGACCCAAGUUGAUAGACCUCGGCGUAAAGCGUGGUUAGGAAAGAACUAAAACUAAAGCCGAACACCUUCAGAACUGUUAUACGUAUCCGAAGGUAAGAAGUUCAACUACGAAAGUGGCUUU